UACGUAGGGUGCGAGCGUUGUCCGGAAUUACUGGGCGUAAAGAGCUCGUAGGUGGUUUGUCGCGUUGUUCGUGAAAACCGGGGGCUUAACCCUCGGCGUGCGGGCGAUACGGGCAGACUGGAGUACUGCAGGGGAGACUGGAAUUCCUGGUGUAGCGGUGGAAUGCGCAGAUAUCAGGAGGAACACCGGUGGCGAAGGCGGGUCUCUGGGCAGUAACUGACGCUGAGGAGCGAAAGCGUCGGGAGCGAACAGG
RNAcentral lists this ribosomal RNA (253 nucleotides) under uncultured bacterium. Its description in RNAcentral is "partial 16S ribosomal RNA". It matches the Rfam family "Bacterial small subunit ribosomal RNA", at positions 524 to 776 of the family's 1533-position model. The record is from RNAcentral.